This 262-nucleotide ribosomal RNA is filed under the name uncultured archaeon. RNAcentral describes it as "partial 16S ribosomal RNA". It matches the Rfam family "Archaeal small subunit ribosomal RNA", at positions 748 to 1009 of the family's 1478-position model. The record is from RNAcentral.
CAGCCGUAAACUAUGCUCGCUAGGUGUCAGGGACGGUGCGACCGUUUCUGGUGCCGCAGGGAAGCCGUGAAGCGAGCCACCUGGGAAGUACGGUCGCAAGGCUGAAACUUAAAGGAAUUGGCGGGGGGAGCACAACAACGGGUGGAGCUUGCGGUUUAAUUGGAUUCAACGCCGGAAAUCUUACCGGGACCGACAGCAACAUGAAGGCCAAGCUGAAGACUUUGCCGGAUUAGCUGAGAGGUGGUGCAUGGCGUAGUCGUGU